AAUCAACGCUGGCGGCGUGCCUAACACAUGCAAGUCGAACGCGAAAGCCCCUUCGGGGGUUAGUAGAGUGGCGUCCGGGUGAGUAACACGUGGGUAAUCUGCCUUCGGGUGGGGAAUAACCCAGGGAAACUUGGGCUAAUACCGCAUAAUGCAGCGGCACCUAAUGGUGAUUAGUUGUUAAAGCGGGGGAUCGCAAGACCUCGCGCCUGAAGAGGAGCCUGCGGCAGAUUAGCAGUUGGUGAGGUAAUGGCUCACCAAGGCUUCGAUCUGUAGCUGGUCUGAGAGGACGGCCAGCCACACUGGCACUGACACACGGGCCAGACUCCUACGGGAGGCAGCAGUGGGGAAUUUUGGGCAAUGGGCGAAAGCCUGACCCAGCAACGCCGCGUGAGGGAGGAAAUCCUUCGGGAUGUAAACCUCACAAGCAAGGGAAGAGAGCUGCAGGCUGAAUAAU
This 454-nucleotide ribosomal RNA is filed under the name uncultured bacterium. Its description in RNAcentral is "bacterial SSU rRNA". It matches the Rfam family "Bacterial small subunit ribosomal RNA", at positions 32 to 464 of the family's 1533-position model. The record is from RNAcentral.